RNAcentral lists this long non-coding RNA (3214 nucleotides) under Olea europaea subsp. europaea. The record is from RNAcentral. Lineage: Eukaryota; Viridiplantae; Streptophyta; Magnoliopsida; Lamiales; Oleaceae.
GGCCUUUUUGUCUUAAAAUUGUGGUCCAUUAAUUUUGAUAAAUGCCUGAAAUCACAAAUAAAUUCACAACAAUCCAUUGCCCAAAGUCUUUUACUUCCACGACAUUUCAUUUCAAAAAUCAGAACUGGAGUCUAGACACCAUCGGUAACCUCGAAACCCUAUUCUUCCAAGUUCUAUCCCACUCCAACUCUGCGAUUCCCGGUGUUCUCCUACCCGCCCCGCCCGCCAGUCACGGACUGUCGCCUCCCGCCCCAGCCUGCCGGUAAAUAGUUCUAUUUGAUUCAUCUUCUUAAAUGAUAAAAAAUGAAUCUUUUGCAUUUUAGGGUUUUAAGAGAUUGAUUUUAGUUAUAAUUUGAUUUAUUUAAUUUAGGAAAUUAGAUUAAUUGCAAUUGGAUCUUGGGUUUUAAACAUGUGGAUAGUGGUCAGUGGACUAGUUGCCUGUGGUUAGGUUUUCAGAUUCACAUUUGUAUAUUUUGAAUUUCUCUAUUAUUUGCGUUUGUUUUUCUCUGUUAUUUGACUGUGGUAAGGUUUUAGUGCAUUUAGAUAUAAAUUGAAGAAUUUUAAAUAUUAAUAAAGGACCUUGGUAAUAUGGCCCUUUGACCGUCGAAAGUCAACGAUCAACGGCCGCCUUAGCUGACCUCAAGUCCUGAAUCCGCCACCGUUCGUAAUACAACAUGACUGCAAAAAUUUACGUCCCAUCUUUCACUUUCAUUAUGUACUGCAUAAGUAUCACUGGUUUUUCAAUGAACUAUGUUUUUAAUCACUGAUUUUCACUUUUUCUCGGAAGAGGAAUCAGAUUUUUGAUCCAUUUGUAUACCUAUAUUUGUCUUAAUUUAGAGAAAAAAAAGUGUUGGAAUUUUAUAUUGGCUAUGUUUAUGAGUCAGCAGUAGGGGCCCCUUUGAUUGCAACCCAUCUGUCGCAUAGAGCCAACACAAAUCGUGCAGGUUUGAAGAUCCAUGAAACCCAUCUUGCUGGCUUGUUUCAUGAUACAAUAAACUGGGCAUAUUUUACUGCGAUUUAAGUGAAAAAUUAAGAAAUUUUCUUCUGGGCUAGAGUCGAAGAUUGUUAGUGUUGACUAAAAGAUGGUAUUUUAUUCAGAUAUGGUGGCUUCAUCUUUAAAUUCAAUGAGAGGCUAACUUUUGUUCGGUUCCUAUAAAGAGGUACUUAUCACCGUAGAGGUAAGAAUUUUAUUUAUUUAUUGAAGAAUAAUGUUUGAUUUAAGGUUUAUGGACAAUUGUUUAUAUUCAAAUUUUAGCAAGAAUUGAAGAUUAUUGAUAAGGUAUUUGAGGUAUUAACCUGUAGUACUGCAAAGAAUAAUGUAUAUGGGAAGAAUGGGGUUGAAAUAGAAAAAAUAUGAAAUGGUUUGUAAAUUAAAGCUUCAAUCUUUGAAUUUAUUCUGUUUAUAUGAGGCCAAUCACUUGAUUUAAGUGUAUGAGGGUUGAUUUCUCCAUCUUUAAGCAAUUUUAAGCAAUUUUUGAGCAAUUGUAAUACAAAGGUGCUAUUUUUGAAAUUCUGUCCAGAAAGUACUAUUUCUAUUGGUGGUUUUGCAGACAGUUUUCCAUAUAUAGAAACUGGUGCCAGAUUUAAGUAAUCCAAAAUUUUAGUGCUGUUUUUGUUAAAUCUUCAUUUUUUUUCUUAGAUGUUAAAAGGUUUGAAUGAAGUUAAUUGAAAAAAAUUGAGGCAUAGGUAUUGGAUUAAAUUAGGUAUAUGGAUUGUGUAAGGUAGUGACUUCUGGUUUGAUCAUGUGUGGUGAUUAGCCAGUGAAAAAUUAAAGAGAAGACAAGUUAAGGGGGAUGGAGAUGCUAGAAUAAAUGUAGAAGUUGACGAAUUAAGUGGUGGGUUAGUAUUAGUUUACCGGAUUGGUUUUAAUUUGAGUAAUUUAUCAUUAUUUUAGGCGAUGACAUGAAAGUUUGGAAAAGUCUGUCAACUUAACGAGAUUGCUUUCUAUAGCAUUGUUUGGUUGAUCAUUUUACCGAGUAAUCUUUCUCAUUUUUCCCUUGACUGAGAAGAAAUGUAGCUAACAGCAGAAAAAGAGGAUUAACCUUGUACAUAAAAUCGUUUAAAAUAAAUAGGACUGAACGUAGACAACUAAACAGGAAAACCUCCAUUCAAAAAUAAGAAGAAAACAAUAAAAAUAUAUUGUUAAAAAUAAUUGUAAGUAUGGUUUAAUUCCACUUGCUUUACAAAUUGAACUCGAAAAAAUUGAAGGAAAAUAUAAGCCUCUCAAAUAGAAUACAAAAAACCAAUUAGAUCUAAACAAAUAAUGAGUGGGCAAUUAUUUAUUUUUUUAUUUUUUGGUUCAGUGAACAAUUAGUAACCUAGGAAUAAAUUUAAUGAGUGUUCAUUUAAUUAACUUAAUAAUUUAAUGUCGUUAAGGUGCGACGUCUGAUUUUUGUUGAUCACAUGGUACUUUCCAUCAAGUCGAGUACCUGGUUUCACUCUAGUGAUGAAUAGAUAACCAUUUGAAUUGAUGAGUUAAUAACAGUGAGCAGGUAGUAACUUAUGCCUAGGGUAAAUUUAAUGAGCAUUCAUUUAAUUAACUCGUUUUUACUAUUGCUAUUUUAACUAUCAAUGAGACCAUUUUCCCCAUCGUGUCACUAUUUUUGAUGUCAAACCGUCUCAUCUGGUCCGAUAUGAAAACAUAUGAAAAACUGAUGAAAUAGCUUAUUGGCUUCUUUCUUGAGAUAAGUUGAGUCUAUCUAUCCAUCAUCGAGUAUCUCUAGCUCUAAAUAUCGAAGAUUGGAAGGUAACCAAUCUAUUGACUUCUGCCAUUUGAGUUAUUAUUUCAAAUUUCUGUGCAUAAUCUCAAGUUGUAAUGUAAAACUUAAUUUUAGACAUAUUAGCAUCACAUGAAAUUUUUAUUAAUUUGGCCAAUUCAAGUCAUUGAAGAUGAAUUAUUUUAAGUAUAAUAGGAACAGAGUUGUAUAUUUUAAAAGCUGGGGACUAAGUUGGCACGAGAUCAAUAGAUCAAGAACCAGUGCUGCGAUUUUAGGAAACCCGGAGUUCCAAAUAAUAGGGUCUGUGUGUGUGUGUGCACCGACCAGUUGAAAGCAGCAGACAAGGAGUGAAGGAGGCAGAGAGUAAUGAACGUAAUCAUCCUGACAAAGACGUCAAACUUAGCCCAGACACAGCUGCCAGCCCUCUUUUUCAACUAUAUUUUCCAACAUUCUCGAGGUGUUUUUCCCUAUAUUUUGCUGAAUUAUCAGUCUUUUUU